Molecule: ribosomal RNA, 405 nt
Filed under: uncultured bacterium
Lineage: Bacteria
Description: partial 16S ribosomal RNA
Rfam family: Bacterial small subunit ribosomal RNA
Source: RNAcentral
AUUGAACGCUAGCGGGAUGCUUUACACAUGCAAGUCGAACGAGUGGCGGACGGGUGAGUAAUAUAUCGGAACGUGCCCAGUAGCGGGGGACAACUAUGCGAAAGAGUUGCUAAUAACGUAUACCAAUGGAGCGGCCGUAAUCGGAUCAGCGAGUUGGUGGGGUAAAGGCUCACCAAGACCACGAUCAGUAGCAGGUUUGAGAGGACGACCAGCCACACUGGGACUGAGACACGGCCCAGACUCCUACGGGAGGCAGCAGUGGGGAAUGUUUGACAAUGGGGGAAGCCCUGAUCCAGCGAUCCCGCGUGUAUGAGAAGGCCUUCGGGUUGUAAAGUACUUUUGGCAGAGAAGCGGUAUCUGCAGAAUAAGCACCGGCUAACUACGUGCCAGCAGCCGCGGUAAUAC